AACGAACGCUGGCGGCAGGCCUAACACAUGCAAGUCGAGCGGGGACUUCGGUCCUAGCGGCGGACGGGUGAGUAACGCGUGGGAACGUGCCCUUUGCUUCGGAAUAGCCCCUGGAAACGGGGAGUAAUACCGGAUGUGCUCGAGAGAGGAAAGAAUUUCGGCAAAGGAUCGGCCCGCGUUGGAUUAGGUAGUUGGUGGGGUAAUGGCCUACCAAGCCGACGAUCCAUAGCUGGUUUGAGAGGAUGAUCAGCCACACUGGGACUGAGACACGGCCCAGACUCCUACGGGAGGCAGCAGUGGGGAAUCUUAGACAAUGGGCGCAAGCCUGAUCUAGCCAUGCCGCGUGAGCGAUGAAGGCCUUAGGGUUGUAAAGCUCUUUCGUGGGGGGAAGAUAAUGACGGUACCCCAAGAAGAAGCCCCCGGCUAACUCCGUGCACCCGA
Molecule: ribosomal RNA, 441 nt
Filed under: uncultured bacterium
Lineage: Bacteria
Description: bacterial SSU rRNA
Rfam family: Bacterial small subunit ribosomal RNA
Source: RNAcentral